UACAGAGGUCCCAAGCGUUGUUCGGAUUCACUGGGCGUAAAGGGUGCGUAGGCGGUCGGGCAAGUCUGAUGUGAAAGCCCUUGGCUCAACUGAGGAAGUGCAUCUGAAACUGGCGAGCUAGAGUAUGUAAGAGGGUCGCGGAAUUCCCGGUGUAGAGGUGAAAUUCGUAGAUAUCGGGAGGAACACCGGUGGCGAAGGCGGCGACCUGGGACAAUACUGACGCUGAGGUGCGAAAGCGUGGGGAGCAAACAGG
RNAcentral lists this ribosomal RNA (253 nucleotides) under uncultured bacterium. Its description in RNAcentral is "partial 16S ribosomal RNA". It matches the Rfam family "Bacterial small subunit ribosomal RNA", at positions 524 to 776 of the family's 1533-position model. The record is from RNAcentral.